UGGCGGACGGGUGAGUAACGCGUAAGAACCUGCCCUUAGAGGGGGACAACAGCUGGAAACGGUUGCUAAUACCCCAUAAGCUGAGGAGCAAAAGGAGGAAUCCACCUAAGGAGGGGCUUGCGCCUGAUUAGCUAGUUGGUGAGGCAAAGGCUUACCAAGGCGACGAUCAGUAGCUGGUCUGAGAGGAUGAUCAGCCACACUGGGACUGAGACACGGCCCAG
RNAcentral lists this ribosomal RNA (221 nucleotides) under uncultured bacterium. Its description in RNAcentral is "partial 16S ribosomal RNA". It matches the Rfam family "Bacterial small subunit ribosomal RNA", at positions 96 to 334 of the family's 1533-position model. The record is from RNAcentral.